Molecule: ribosomal RNA, 751 nt
Filed under: uncultured Actinomyces sp.
Lineage: Bacteria; Bacillati; Actinomycetota; Actinomycetes; Actinomycetales; Actinomycetaceae
Description: bacterial SSU rRNA
Rfam family: Bacterial small subunit ribosomal RNA
Source: RNAcentral
GACGAACGCUGGCGGCGUGCUUAACACAUGCAAGUCGAACGCUGAAGCCCAGCUUGCUGGGUGGAUGAGUGGCGAACGGGUGAGUAACACGUGAGUAACCUGCCCCCUUCUUUGGGAUAACGCCCGGAAACGGGUGCUAAUACUGGAUAUUCACUGGCCUUCGCAUGGGGGUUGGUGGAAAGGUUUUUCUGGUGGGGGAUGGGCUCGCGGCCUAUCAGCUUGUUGGUGGGGUGAUGGCCUACCAAGGCUUUGACGGGUAGCCGGCCUGAGAGGGUGACCGGUCACAUUGGGACUGAGAUACGGCCCAGACUCCUACGGGAGGCAGCAGUGGGGAAUAUUGCACAAUGGGCGAAAGCCUGAUGCAGCGACGCCGCGUGAGGGAUGGAGGCCUUCGGGUUGUAAACCUCUUUCGCUCAUGGUCAAGCCGCAGCUUUGGGUUGUGGUGAGGGUAGUGGGUAAAGAAGCGCCGGCUAACUACGUGCCAGCAGCCGCGGUAAUACGUAGGGCGCGAGCGUUGUCCGGAAUUAUUGGGCGUAAAGGGCUUGUAGGCGGUUGGUCGCGUCUGCCGUGAAAUCCUCUGGCUUAACUGGGGGCGUGCGGUGGGUACGGGCUGACUUGAGUGCGGUAGGUGAGACUGGAACUCCUGUUGUAGCGGUGGAUGCGCAUAUAUCAGGAAGAACACCGGUGGGCGAAGGCGGGUCUCUGGUCCGUUACUGACGCUUGAGGAGCGAAAGCGUGGGGAGCGAACAGU